RNAcentral lists this ribosomal RNA (784 nucleotides) under uncultured archaeon. Its description in RNAcentral is "bacterial SSU rRNA". It matches the Rfam family "Archaeal small subunit ribosomal RNA", at positions 84 to 872 of the family's 1478-position model. The record is from RNAcentral.
UACGGCUCAGUAACACGUCGAUAAUCUGCCCUUAAGUCUGGGAUAACCUUGGGAAACUGAGGCUAAUACCGGAUAGGAGAUUCUUUCUGGAAUGAUGUUUCUCUUAAAGAUUACGCUUAAGGAUGAGUCGGCGGCGGAUUAGGCUGUUGGUGAGGUAAUGGCUCACCAAACCAGAGAUCCGUAGGGGCCUUGAGAGAGGUAGCCCCGAGAAGGACACUGAGAUACUGGUCCUAACCCUACGGGGUGCAGCAGGCGCGAAACCUUUACACUGCACGAAAGUGUGAUAAGGGAAUCCAAAGUGCUCAUGCUUUGCAUGGGCUUUUGCCAAGAGUAAAUAUCUUGGCGAAUAAGUGGUGGGAAAGACUGGUGCCAGCCGCCGCGGUAACACCAGCGCCACAAGUGGGGACCACAAUUAUUGGGCCUAAAGCGUCCGUAGCCGGUCUGAAAAAUCAAUUGUGAAAUCGUUUGGCCUAACCAAACGGCGCGCAGAUGACACUCUCAGACUUGGAACCGGGAGGAGUCAGAGGUAUUCUUGGGGGAGCGGUAAAAUGCUAUAAUCCCUUGAAGACCACCAGUAGCGUAGGCGUCAUACUGGAACGAGCCCGACGAUGAGGAACGAGAGCUAGGGGAGCGAACCGGAUUAGAUACCCGGGUAGUCCUAGCCGUAAACGAUGCAGACUGAGUGUCCCCGAAACCUCGGGUUACGGGGGUGCUGAAGGGAAACCGUUAAGUCUGCCACCUGGGAAGUACGGUCGCAAGGCUGAAACUUAAAGGAAUUGGCGGA